RNAcentral lists this ribosomal RNA (358 nucleotides) under uncultured bacterium. Its description in RNAcentral is "bacterial SSU rRNA". It matches the Rfam family "Bacterial small subunit ribosomal RNA", at positions 362 to 756 of the family's 1533-position model. The record is from RNAcentral.
UAUUGGACAAUGGGCGCAAGCCUGAUCCAGCCAUGCCGCGUGAGUGAUGAAGGCCUUCGGGUUGUAAAGCUCUUUUGGCGGGGACGAUGAUGACGGUACCCGCAGAAUAAGCCCCGGCUAACUUCGUGCCAGCAGCCGCGGUAAGACGAAGGGGGCUAGCGUUGUUCGGAAUUACUGGGCGUAAAGCGAGUGUAGGUGGUUGUCCAAGUUGGAUGUAAAGCCUUAGCUCAACUCAAGAAAUGCAUUCAGACUGAUGGCAGGGACCGGAGAGGAUAGUGAAUUCCCAGUGAGUGGUAAAACGAGAAUUGGAAGACACCAGUGGCGAGGCGGCUUCUGGCGUUCUGACAAAGCUAGUCGA